This is a long non-coding RNA of Megalobrama amblycephala (Wuchang bream), 1346 nucleotides long. RefSeq lists it as uncharacterized. The record is from RefSeq and is a predicted model, not a curated record. The transcript has 2 exons. Lineage: Eukaryota; Metazoa; Chordata; Actinopteri; Cypriniformes; Xenocyprididae.
CUUACAUGCAGCUGCUGCUCAAAUCAAGAUCUAUAUAAAUGAUGACUUUUGUUAAACCUGAAUGCUCAUUAAAUAAAAAGAAUGUUAAAUACUUUUUUAAACAUCCCAUUUCAAUUCAAUUUAUGUGUAAAUAUGUGUGAUUUCUGUGUCUCUCUAAAUGUAAUGCUAAACACUCUUUUAGGAACUUUUUGUGCAUGUAAAAAGUAACAGGCCUAAUGGCAAAUUAAAUUUGUUGUACUUUGGUGUUAAAUUUGAAAGCUCUAAUAGUAACACGCAAUUAAGACUGAGUUUGUGGUUUAAUGCAUCUAUUGCUGUUGAAACAGUUGAGAUUUGUGAAGUCGAGAUCACUUACACCGAGACGACAUUCUACAAGAGAAACACACAGAAAACAAAAGUUGAAGAGGAGAGUCAUGUGGAAUAUGCACCAAUCGCACUCAGAAGAUGACCAAACUUCAAGGUUUUUCUAAAUACAAAACCCUUAUUUAAUCAUUUUCAUUGGGAACCUCCUGCAACGACCUCCGACUCUGAGUCUAUGGUUGAGAUUUGGGAUUGUGAGAAUCACCAUGUUACAUCAGGAGAUAGAUAAGACAUACAGCAGGGAUCAGAUUAUGUAAAUCAUGUGGUCCAUUAGAGCAUUUUCAUGUUUGCAGAACAUAGUUGCAAACUAAUCAUCAAAAGGUGACAAAGUGAACCGUGCCGCGGCUCAUUUAUGUAUAUCUGUACACAACUGUGGUUUGAUCCGUUGGGUAGAUAAACAGCUUGUGCAUGAGAAUGAGUCUGCUGCUGGAUGUUUGCAUUUGAUGUCAGAAGGUGUCAAUAAAGCAAGCGUGUGUCUGAGGCGUCAAUAACCCGUCUGUUCGAGUGUGUGACUGAGGUGUCAACAGUGCGUCAGUGCGAGUGUGUCUGAGGUGUCAGUCUGUGUGGACAGAGAGUCGUUGCAAGGAUUUUUUGCAUUUUACUCACAUGAAACUGUUGAUUUCUGCUCUACAGUGAAGCCAUUUUACUACAUAAUACUGAACUCAUUAGUUUGAUGUUUGACAAAAAGGUCUCUCAAGUCAAACAGUGAUAUUACUGCAAAAAAAAAAAAAAAAAGGAAAAUAUAUAUGGCAUGCUGAUCUUAUGAAGUGAUCCAGCAGUGCUACACUCUCAGGCACACCAUUGUACCUUAUUUACUUAUUAGUACCUAAAUGGUUGAGAAAGUCCCUUCAGUGACAUCCUGAGAGUGUAGUUUCAGUAGAUAUUUCUAAGCAGAACUAUUCUUGAUGCCUGUUUUUUUCUUUGUAAUAAAGGUUAUAUCAUGCACUGGCACACUGGGUUAUUUUAAGAAUAAAUGCAAUUAUUUACAA